Molecule: ribosomal RNA, 409 nt
Filed under: uncultured bacterium
Lineage: Bacteria
Description: bacterial SSU rRNA
Rfam family: Bacterial small subunit ribosomal RNA
Source: RNAcentral
UGGGGAAUAUUGGGCAAUGGACGCAAGUCUGACCCAGCGACGCCGCGUGAGGGAUGAAGGCCUUCGGGUUGUAAACCUCUUUCAGUAGGGAAGAAGCGAAAGUGACGGUACCUACAAAAGAAGCACCGGCUAACUAUGUGCCAGCAGCCGCGGUAAUACAUAGGGUGCAAGCGUUGUCCGGAUUUAUUGGGCGUAAAGCGUGCGCAGGCGGUUCGGAAAGAAAGGUGUGAGAUCCCAGGGCUUAACCUUGGAACUGCACUUUUAACUCCCGAGCUAGAGUAUGUCAGAGGGGGGUGGAAUUCCGCGUGUAGCAGUGAAAUGCGUAGAUAUGCGGAGGAACACCGAUGGCGAAGGCAAUCCCCUGGGCCUGCACUGACGCUCAUGCGCGAAAGCGUGGGGAGCAAACAGG